GCCCCACUGUUAACUAACACACACACACCUACUACCUGCCCCCCACUGUUAACUAACACACACACACAGGAAAGGUCGCUGGUUCAAAUCCCCCCGCCGACUAAAGUGAAAAUCUGACAAUGUGCCCUUGAGCAAGGCAACUAACCACACUGGCUCCUGUAAGUUGCUCUGGAUAAGAGCGUCUGCUAAAUGACUCCAAUUUCAAAGUGUAAAUUCACUUCCUGUAGUAGAGCCGGAAUGACUGCCUCAUGAAUAUUCAGAGACGGACUGUUGAAUGACUGCCUCAUGAAUAUUCAGAGACAGACUGUUGAAUGACUGCCUCAUGAAUAUUCAGAGACAGACUGUUGAAUGACUGCCUCAUGAAUAUUCAGAGACAGACUGUUGAAUGACUGCCUCAUGAAUAUUCAGAGACAGACUGUUGAAUGACUGCCUCAUGAAUAUUCAGAGACGGACUGUUGAAUGACUGCCUCAUGAAUAUUCAGAGACAGACUGUUGAAUGACUGCCUCAUGAAUAUUCAGAGACGGACUGGUACACUCCAAGACAAAAGCUUUUUAAAUGCUGUAAAUGUUUUACUCGUAACCUACAAGAUGAACUGAUUUUAACUUUCACCUGCUCUGACGUUCGUGUCUGAGAAGCACAUUAUUUUCUGCUCUGAUAGGAUAGUCUGAUAGGUUAGUUUAAUACACUGCUCUGAUAGGUUAGUUUAAUACACUGCUCUGAUAGGUUAGUUUAAUACACUGCUCUGAUAGGAUAGUCUGAUAGGUUAGUUUAAUACACUGCUCUGAUAGGAUAGUCUGAUAGGUUAGUUUAAUACACUGCUCUGAUAGGUUAGUUUAAUACACUGCUCUGAUAGGUUAGUUUAAUACAUUGCUCUGAUAGGUUAGUUUAAUACACUGCUCUGAUAGGUUAGUUUAAUACACUGCUCUGAUAGGUUAGUUUAAUACACUGCUCUGAAGACUGUUGAUGCCAUUGGAGAUCCACAAACUGACUGUGGAAUGUUUUGGUUCCUGAUGGUCAAAUCUGAAGCCCUAUUCUCUAUAGUAGGGGUCAAAUCUGAAGCCCUAUUCUCUAUGUAGUGCACUAAGGGGAUAGUAGGGGUCAAAUCUGAAGCCCUAUUCUCUAUGUAGUGCACUAAAGGGAUAGUAGGGGUCAAAUCUGAAGCCCUAUUCUCUAUGUAGUGCACUAAGGGGAUAGUAGGGGUCUGCACUAUGAAGGGAAUAGGGGGGAUAAUUUGAAGAUGAAGCCUUUUUGUCACUGAUACGGUUGUGGUUUUAUACAGUACCAAUGUAAAAGCACAUUGACGAUCUAUAUUCCUUUAAUUAUGAAUGAGAUGAUGCUUUAUGGAUUCAUCCCAGACUGCUCUCUGUUUUCUACACAGAUGCAGACCUUUGAGGGAAAACUUUUAUACUUUGGGUUUUUGGAAUAAUAAAAUGAAAAUAAAUAAAUAAAACAUGUGGUGAACUAAACCGACCGGUAUGGUGUUCUUUAUCAACAUGAAUGUGGUGAACUAAACCGACCGGUAUGGUGUUCUUUAACAACAUGAAUGUGGUGAACUAAACCGACCGGUAUGGUGUUCUUUAUCAACAUGAAUGUGGUGAACUAAACCGACCGGUAUGGUGUUCUUUAUCAACAUGAAUGUGGUGAACU
Oncorhynchus tshawytscha (Chinook salmon) is the source of this 1648-nucleotide long non-coding RNA. NCBI's taxonomy places the organism in Eukaryota, Metazoa, Chordata, Actinopteri, Salmoniformes, Salmonidae. The record is from Ensembl.